Molecule: ribosomal RNA, 2820 nt
Filed under: hot springs metagenome
Description: bacterial LSU rRNA
Rfam family: Bacterial large subunit ribosomal RNA
Source: RNAcentral
GCAAGCUACUAAGGGCGCACGGCGGAUGCCUAGGAGCAAGGAGCCGAUGAAGGGCGUGGUCAGCUGCGAUAAGCUGCGAGGAGCCGCAAACAGGCGUUGAUCCGCAGAUCCCCGAAUGGGAGAACCCGGCCACCGAAUGGGUGGUCACCCACCGCUGAACCCAUAGGCGGUGUGGAGGGAACCUGGGGAACUGAAACAUCUCAGUACCCAGAGGAAAAGAAAUCGAACGAGAUUCCCUCAGUAGCGGCGAGCGAACGGGGAAGAGCCUAAACCAACUGGGCGUGCCCAGUUGGGGUCGUGGGACCGACAUCCGAGUACGCCUUCCGCUUAGCAGAAGUGUCUGGAACGGCACGCCAUAGAGGGUGAGAGCCCCGUAUGCGAAAAGUGGAAGCGACUCGUCGGUAUCCCGAGUAGCACGGGAUAAGUGGAGCCCUGUGCGAAUCUGCCCGGACCACCGGGUAAGGCUAAAUACUCCUUGCUACCGAUAGCGCAACCAGUACCGUGAGGGAACGGUGAAAAGCACCCCGGCGAGGGGAGUGAAAGAGAACCUGAAACCGUGCGCUUACAAACAGUCGGAGGACUAUACCCCUCUGGGGGACAGUCUGACGGCGUGCCUUUUGCAGAAUGAGCCGGCGAGUUACGCUCAGCGGCAAGGUUAAGCGUCUCAGACGCGGAGCCGUAGCGAAAGCGAGUCCUCACAGGGCGACUCAGUCGCUGGGCGUAGACCCGAAACCGCGCGAUCUACCCCUGGUCAGGCUGAAGCCGUGGUAACACACGGUGGAGGGCCGAACUGGUGACCGUUGAAAAGGUCUCGGAGGAACUGGGGGUAGUGUGGUGAAAUGCCAAUCGAGCGCGGAGAUAGCUGGUUCUCCCCGAAAUGCAUUGAGGUGCAGCCUCACGCGCUAUGCUAUGCAGGUAGAGCCACUGGAUGGGCUAGGGGCCCUACCAGGUUACCGAACCCAACCAAACUCCGAAUGGCAUAGCAGGAAGCGUGGGAGUGAGACAGCGACGGAUGAGCGCCGUUGUCAAAAGGGUAACAGCCCAGACCGCCCGCUAAGGUCCCCAAACACAGGCUAAGUGUGAAAGGAUGUAGGGUCGCGUAAACAACCAGGAGGUUGGCUUAGAAGCAGCCAUCCUUUAAACAGUGCGUAACAGCUGACUGGUCGAAUGUGACCCUGCGCCGACAAUGUAAGGGGGCUCAAGCCUGUUACCGAAGCGGCGGGUUCCCGCAAGGGAGCGGUAGGGGAGCGUUCUGCUCGCAGUGAAGGUGGAGCGGAAGCACCACUGGAGCGUGCAGAAGUGAGAAUGCCGGCACGAGUAGCGAGAAGACGGGUGAGAAUCCCGUCCGCCGAAAGCCUAAGGGUUCUUCAGGCAGGUUCGUCCGCUGAAGGUUAGGCGGUCCUAAGUCGAGGGCGAAACGCCGUAGGCGAAGGGCAGUGGGUCAACAUUCCCACCCCAGGUGGUGGAGCCAAGCGGUGACGCUUCAGAAUCGGUCGGGCGCAGAGUUGGAAGGCUGCGCUCGCCCCAGCGGCAACUCUGGGGCGACGAAGGGAUCCCUCGUGGUGAACGAAGCGACCGUGACUGGAGCCGAGAAAACCCGUGUAGCGUUGAAACCACCUGACCGUACCGCAAACCGACACAGGUAGGCGAGGCGAGGAGCCUCAGGCGCGCGAGAGAAGUCCCGCUAAGGAACUCGGCAAAUUGACCCCGUAACUUCGGGAGAAGGGGUGCCUCGAAAGAGGUCGCAGCAAAGCGGGCCCGGCGACUGUUUACCAAAAACACAGCUCUCUGCGAAGGGGAAACCCGAUGUAUAGGGGGCGACGCUUGGCCAAUGCCCGUAGGUUAAGGGGAGGGGUCAGCCGCAAGGUGCAGCCCUGAACUGAAGCCCGGGUGAAUGCCGGCCGUAACUCUAACGGUUCGUCACAGGGCCGUUGUAAAAUCUGGCUAUAUGCUGGAACAGCUCGUGGAUCCCACACUACCGAGGAGGUGACAAAGUGAUGGGUGGAGCCAAUCAGCAGGAAAGACUUGAAGUCACCGAAGAGGCGAAAUGGUUCCUCGCUGGGUUCAUCGAAGGCGAAGGCUCGCUGCUGGUGAGCAUCAAACACCACGACACCAGCCGCUACGGAUACUAUGUUGACCCAGAGUUCCAUCUGGUGCAACACCGCAGCGGACUACCUCUGCUUAGACUCGCCCAGCAAGUCUUCGGCACAGGACGCAUCUUCCCGAAACCGGGAAGCCCCAACUGCUAUGUCUACGCCAUUCACUGUCGGCGUAGCCUCUGGGAGAAGGUCGUACCCUACUUCGAGAAGUAUGUGGUACCCUUCUCAUGCAAGCGCGAAACCUUCUAUCGGUUCCGCGAAAUCCUGGAGCUGAUGAACCAAGGGGAACACCGCCGCCCUGAGGGGCUGGCAUGCAUCGUCGAGAAGGCGUAUGCGAUGAACCCAGCCGCUAAGGGAAAGCAACGGCUCCGACCGCUGCAGGAGGUGAUUUCAAGAAUCCUCAGAGACCAUACGCCAGACGCUUCGCAGUCUCCUGCGGAGUGAAGAUAUGGUCCAGUCCCUAUGGCGACAUAGGGGGCAACUGCCUAUGGUAGCGAAAUUCCUUGUCGCGUAAAUUGCGACCCGCACGAAAAGCGUAACGACUGGGCCACUGUCUCAGCGGGACUCUCGGUGAAACUGUAGCACCCGUGAAGAUGCGGGUUACCUGCGGUAGGACGGAAAGACCCUAUGGAGCUUUACUACAGCUUGAGAUUGCAUUUCGGUAUGUCAUGUAGAGCGUAGGUGGGAGCUUCGGCGCCAAUGGAACACCACCCUUGACCUA